This 1528-nucleotide ribosomal RNA is filed under the name Acinetobacter baumannii. RNAcentral's name for it is "bacterial SSU rRNA". It matches the Rfam family "Bacterial small subunit ribosomal RNA". The record is from RNAcentral. Lineage: Bacteria; Pseudomonadati; Pseudomonadota; Gammaproteobacteria; Moraxellales; Moraxellaceae.
AGAGUUUGAUCCUGGCUCAGAUUGAACGCUGGCGGCAGGCUUAACACAUGCAAGUCGAGCGGGGGAAGGUAGCUUGCUACUGGACCUAGCGGCGGACGGGUGAGUAAUGCUUAGGAAUCUGCCUAUUAGUGGGGGACAACAUCUCGAAAGGGAUGCUAAUACCGCAUACGUCCUACGGGAGAAAGCAGGGGAUCUUCGGACCUUGCGCUAAUAGAUGAGCCUAAGUCGGAUUAGCUAGUUGGUGGGGUAAAGGCCUACCAAGGCGACGAUCUGUAGCGGGUCUGAGAGGAUGAUCCGCCACACUGGGACUGAGACACGGCCCAGACUCCUACGGGAGGCAGCAGUGGGGAAUAUUGGACAAUGGGGGGAACCCUGAUCCAGCCAUGCCGCGUGUGUGAAGAAGGCCUUAUGGUUGUAAAGCACUUUAAGCGAGGAGGAGGCUACUCUAGUUAAUACCUAGGGAUAGUGGACGUUACUCGCAGAAUAAGCACCGGCUAACUCUGUGCCAGCAGCCGCGGUAAUACAGAGGGUGCGAGCGUUAAUCGGAUUUACUGGGCGUAAAGCGUGCGUAGGCGGCUUAUUAAGUCGGAUGUGAAAUCCCCGAGCUUAACUUGGGAAUUGCAUUCGAUACUGGUGAGCUAGAGUAUGGGAGAGGAUGGUAGAAUUCCAGGUGUAGCGGUGAAAUGCGUAGAGAUCUGGAGGAAUACCGAUGGCGAAGGCAGCCAUCUGGCCUAAUACUGACGCUGAGGUACGAAAGCAUGGGGAGCAAACAGGAUUAGAUACCCUGGUAGUCCAUGCCGUAAACGAUGUCUACUAGCCGUUGGGGCCUUUGAGGCUUUAGUGGCGCAGCUAACGCGAUAAGUAGACCGCCUGGGGAGUACGGUCGCAAGACUAAAACUCAAAUGAAUUGACGGGGGCCCGCACAAGCGGUGGAGCAUGUGGUUUAAUUCGAUGCAACGCGAAGAACCUUACCUGGCCUUGACAUACUAGAAACUUUCCAGAGAUGGAUUGGUGCCUUCGGGAAUCUAGAUACAGGUGCUGCAUGGCUGUCGUCAGCUCGUGUCGUGAGAUGUUGGGUUAAGUCCCGCAACGAGCGCAACCCUUUUCCUUACUUGCCAGCAUUUCGGAUGGGAACUUUAAGGAUACUGCCAGUGACAAACUGGAGGAAGGCGGGGACGACGUCAAGUCAUCAUGGCCCUUACGGCCAGGGCUACACACGUGCUACAAUGGUCGGUACAAAGGGUUGCUACACAGCGAUGUGAUGCUAAUCUCAAAAAGCCGAUCGUAGUCCGGAUUGGAGUCUGCAACUCGACUCCAUGAAGUCGGAAUCGCUAGUAAUCGUGGAUCAGAAUGCCACGGUGAAUACGUUCCCGGGCCUUGUACACACCGCCCGUCACACCAUGGGAGUGGGUUGCAAAAGAAGUAGGUAGCUUAACCUUCGGGAGGGCGCUUACCACUUUGUGAUUCAUGACUGGGGUGAAGUCGUAACAAGGUAACCGUAGGGGAACCUGCGGCUGGAUCACCUCCU